Molecule: unclassified non-coding RNA, 269 nt
Filed under: Hevea brasiliensis (rubber tree)
Lineage: Eukaryota; Viridiplantae; Streptophyta; Magnoliopsida; Malpighiales; Euphorbiaceae
Source: RNAcentral
GCUAAAGUAACGAUAAGUCCCAAAUUACCUACAAUAGCCGGUUUAAAAGUUUCUUGCUGACGUGGCAUGUCUAACUUGAGUAUUUACUAUCUCUUUUGUCUCCCUUUUCCUCCACUGUGUAUUCCUCCCUCUCUCAUCUUAUUUUCUGUCUCUCUCUUGAAUGGACAGCGUUUCUUCCUCACAAAAAUUUACUCCAAAUCUCUCUUGAUUUCUAUCUCUAAAAAAGACCCUCCACUGUCAAUCAAUGUGGGCUUUGAAGUAACAGAUCA